AGAGUUUGAUCAUGGCUCAGGAUGAACGCUAGCUACAGGCUUAACACAUGCAAGUCGAGGGGCAGCAUGACCUAGCAAUAGGUUGAUGGCGACCGGCGCACGGGUGAGUAACACGUAUCCAACCUACCGGUUAUUCCGGGAUAGCCUUUCGAAAGAAAGAUUAAUACCGGAUAGUAUAACGAGAAGGCAUCUUUUUGUUAUUAAAGAAUUUCGAUAACCGAUGGGGAUGCGUUCCAUUAGUUUGUUGGCGGGGUAACGGCCCACCAAGACAUCGAUGGAUAGGGGUUCUGAGAGGAAGGUCCCCCACAUUGGAACUGAGACACGGUCCAAACUCCUACGGGAGGCAGCAGUGAGGAAUAUUGGUCAAUGGACGAGAGUCUGAACCAGCCAAGUAGCGUGAAGGAUGACUGCCCUAUGGGUUGUAAACUUCUUUUAUAUGGGAAUAAAGUGAGCCACGUGUGGCUUUUUGCAUGUACCAUACGAAUAAGGAUCGGCUAACUCCGUGCCAGCAGCCGCGGUAAUACGGAGGAUCCGAGCGUUAUCCGGAUUU
RNAcentral lists this ribosomal RNA (550 nucleotides) under uncultured bacterium. RNAcentral's name for it is "bacterial SSU rRNA". It matches the Rfam family "Bacterial small subunit ribosomal RNA", at positions 8 to 552 of the family's 1533-position model. The record is from RNAcentral.